AAGUUGCUGAAGAGUCCCAUACUAGGACGAAACGGCUGUCCAGUGU
RNAcentral lists this non-coding RNA (46 nucleotides) under Schistosoma mattheei. The record is from RNAcentral. Lineage: Eukaryota; Metazoa; Platyhelminthes; Trematoda; Strigeidida; Schistosomatidae.